Molecule: ribosomal RNA, 1363 nt
Filed under: uncultured bacterium
Lineage: Bacteria
Description: bacterial SSU rRNA
Rfam family: Bacterial small subunit ribosomal RNA
Source: RNAcentral
UGAGUAACACGUGAGUAACCUGCCCUUAACUCUGGGAUAAGCCUGGGAAACUGGGUCUAAUACCGGAUAUGACUCCUCAUCGCAUGGUGGGGGGUGGAAAGCUUUAUUGUGGUUUUGGAUGGACUCGCGGCCUAUCAGCUUGUUGGUGAGGUAAUGGCUCACCAAGGCGACCACGGGUAGCCGGCCUGAGAGGGUGACCGGCCACACUGGGACUGAGACACGGCCCAGACUCCUACGGGAGGCAGCAGUGGGGAAUAUUGCACAAUGGGCGCAAGCCUGAUGCAGCGACGCCGCGUGAGGGAUGACGGCCUUCGGGUUGUAAACCUCUUUCAGUAGGGAAGAAGCGAAAGUGACGGUACCUGCAGAAGAAGCGCCGGCUAACUACGUGCCAGCAGCCGCGGUAAUACGUAGGGCGCAAGCGUUAUCCGGAAUUAUUGGGCGUAAAGAGCUCGUAGGCGGUUUGUCGCGUCUGCCGUGAAAGUCCGGGGCUCAACUCCGGAUCUGCGGUGGGUACGGGCAGACUAGAGUGAUGUAGGGGAGACUGGAAUUCCUGGUGUAGCGGUGAAAUGCGCAGAUAUCAGGAGGAACACCGAUGGCGAAGGCAGGUCUCUGGGCAUUAACUGACGCUGAGGAGCGAAAGCAUGGGGAGCGAACAGGAUUAGAUACCCUGGUAGUCCAUGCCGUAAACGUUGGGCACUAGGUGUGGGGGACAUUCCACGUUUUCCGCGCCGUAGCUAACGCAUUAAGUGCCCCGCCUGGGGAGUACGGCCGCAAGGCUAAAACUCAAAGGAAUUGACGGGGGCUCGCACAAGCAGCGGAGCAUGUGGUUUAAUUCGAAGCAACGCGAAGAACCUUACCUAGACUUGACAUCUCCUGAAUAGCCGGUAACUCGGCGAAGCCUUUCGGGGCAGGAAGACAGGUGGUGCAUGGUUGUCGUCAGCUCGUGUCGUGAGAUGUUGGGUUAAGUCCCGCAACGAGCGCAACCCUUAUCAUUAGUUGCUACCAUUUAGUUGAGCACUCUAAUGAGACUGCCGUGGUUAACGCGGAGGAAGGUGGGGAUGACGUCAAAUCAUCAUGCCCCUUAUGUCUUGGGCUUCACGCAUGCUACAAUGGCCGGUACAAAGGGUUGCGAUACUGUGAGGUGGAGCUAAUCCCAAAAAGCCGGUCUCAGUUCGGAUUGGGGUCUGCAACUCGACCCCAUGAAGUCGGAGUCGCUAGUAAUCGCAGAUCAGCAACGCUGCGGUGAAUACGUUCCCGGGCCUUGUACACACCGCCCGUCAAGUCACGAAAGUUGGUAACACCCGAAGCCGGUGGCCUAACCCCUUGUGGGAGGGAGCUGUCGAAGGUGGGACUGGCGAUUGGG